GGUCGAUUGGUGUAGUUGGUUAUCACGUCAGUCUAACAUCCCACGAUGCGAACACUGAAGGUCGGCGGAUCGAGCCCGCCAUCGAUCA
This 88-nucleotide transfer RNA is filed under the name Microdochium trichocladiopsis. RNAcentral describes it as "tRNA-Val". Lineage: Eukaryota; Fungi; Ascomycota; Sordariomycetes; Xylariales; Microdochiaceae. The record is from RNAcentral.